UUUUUUUUUUUUUUUUUUUUUUUUUUGUCUUUUUGCUAUUUCUUGGGCCACUCCUGAGGCAUAUGGAGGUUCCCAGGCUAGGGGUCGAAUCGGAGCUGCAGCCACCAGCCUACGCCAGAGCCACAGCAACGCUGGAUCCGAGCCUGAGUCUGCAACCUACACCACAGCUCAUGGCAACGCCGGAUCGUUAACACACUGAGCAAGGGCAGGGACCGAACCCGCAACUUCAUGGUUCCUAGUCGGAUUCAUUAACCACUGCUCCACGACGGGAACUCCAAGACUAGCUGAUCUUUUUUUGUGCAGGCUGGGGACACAGAGGCAAGAGAGCUAAACCUGGGCGCGGUCCGUACCCCACCCCAGGCGUGGCCCUGAGGCUAUCAAUUCAGGCCUAACAGCUAUUCUUCAGUUCCAAGGGCAGGGAAAUGGCAGGAGGCUCGGCUGGCUGUCACCACGGCAACCACCCAGAACUGCCCUCCAGGCCCACAUCCAAGGAAUGGCUGGCAGUCACUUUUUCCACCACUCACCCCUUCCCUUCCCUCUUUCCUUCCUUGACCAAAAACUGCGUGAUUUCCCUUGUUGCAGCCAUUCCCAAGGAGAACAAUGGAUGGCAGCUCUGAGCAGAGGGUGGAGAAGUCAGAACAAAGGGGAGCGGAUCUGGGGGGGUGCAUGGGGUGAUCUGGCAACUGAACAGGGUUAGACAGUUGUCCAUAGGCAAAUGCUGUGUUGUUGGCGACAUAAGGAUAGAUGGAACAGUGGCUGCCCCACCUCUGCCCCCUGCCACUGGGACGAGAGGAAGGAGGCUGUUCUUCAUCCAUCCUUGAAAAUGCACCAACAAUGGCAGAAUCUAGAGGGGCAGGGCACCAGGUCUCCUUCAGAGGAAACUACUGGAAAGAGUGUGCCUCUUGGCUUUGAAAAGCAAAGGCCAGGAGGAAAGUGGCCACAGCCUUGCUUGGUGACUGCUCUGUGAUGCCAUUUUGGGGGGGGGGGCGCUCUGGCAGCAUAUGGAGGUUCCCAGGCUAGAGGUCCAAUUGGAACUGCAGCUGCCAGCCUACGCCACAGCCACAGCAACGUCAGAUCUGAACCACGUCUUCAACCUACACCACAGCUCACAGCAAUGCCAGAUCCUUAACCCACUAAGCAGGGCCAGUGAUGGAACCCACAUCCUCAUGGAUACCAGUCAGCUUCAUUACCACUGAGCCACAAAUGGGAACUCCUGUGACACCAUUUUUUGAUGCUGGUGCCUAAGAGGCCCCCAUGCCUGGGUCAGUCCUGUUAAGUGGCAUUGCUAUGGAAAUCUGGUGUGGGGGGGCAGCCUGCUGAUCCCCUCAGGCAGCUCUGCCCACAUCCUCUGCUCCCUCCAAUCAGUCCCAACCUUCCUUCAGGGCUGGCCUGGUUCAGCUCCUUCCUCUGCAUAAAGUAUUUAUUCUCUGGCCAUUUGUGCAACACUCUGCCUCUGAAAUGCCAAAGCAGUCACUCUUUCUAGACUGUUCUCAUCUAGCAUCACUCACCUUUUUCUCUGAGGAUCCCUCUACUACCCAAUAGCCUGGAAUCCCCAUGUACCUGCCUCUGUGCUGGGCAUGGACCAGAUGCUAGGCUCUCUGUGAGCACAUUCUGAUUCAGUAAGGAAGGGAAGCAGGACCCUUGGAUCCACCAUUGUUCAGGGAAUUUAAAAAAAAAUUUUUUUUAGGAGUUCCCGUCGUGGUGCAGUGGUUACCGAAUCCAACUAGGAACCAGGAGGUUUCGGGUUCAAUCCCUGGCCUUGCUCAGUGGGUUAAGGAUCCGACAUUGCCGUGAGCUGUGGUGUAGGUCGCAGACACGGCUCGGAUCCCAUGCUGCUGUGGCUGUUGUGUAGGCCGGUGGCUAUAGCUCCGAUUCGACCCCUAGCCUGGGAAACUCCAUAUGCCGCGGGAGCGGCCCAAGAAAUGGCAAAAAGACAAAAAAAAAAAAUUUAUUUUAUGAUUUUUAUUUUUUCCAUCAUAGUUGAUUUACAGUGUUCUGUUAAUUUCUACUGUACAACUAAGUGAACCAGUCGCAUAUAUGUAUAUUUCUAUAUAUAUACACACACACACAUAUACAUACAUACACAUAAAUAUACAUGUUCUUUUUCUCAUAUUAUCCUCUGUCAUGUUCCAUCACAAGUGAUGGGAUACAGCUCCCUGUGCUGUACAGCAAGUUUAGGGAAUUUAAUACUCACUGCUGACACCCCGGGUGUUCCCCAAGCAAGGGGCCAGUGACCCCUCUCUCCGCCAGUGAGGAAAGAGAACAUUCAUUGUAUCCAGUUCAGUGAAUAUCAAGAACAUUGGUGUCACAAUUUGCAGUCACCCAAGCACCUCUUUGCAGACUAUCUUGAGCCACACAGUGACCUUGCGAGGGGGUAAGACACAUUACUAGCCCAUUUCACAGAUGAAGAGGUUGAGGGUCAGAGAGGUUAAGUGAUAUGACCUGGGGCACAUGGUCCAGAGUGCAGACCCCUAGUCUCGCACCUAGCAGGUGUACCGAAUACCCAGGAGGACAUGUAGCAGCCAAAGACACAGAAAAGGGCACUAAGCUGGGAGGUGACAGAUGUAACUACUCCAGGGCAGAAGCUGACACUGAAAAAGAGGGAUGACAAUGCGUCCCAGAGGAAGGGAGGGGAGGCCAUCACUGCACCCAGUUAACUGGUCACAACGCAGCCCACUGAGACCUGGGAAAAGAGGAUGGACAUGAGUGUUUUCUAAGGUCCUUGGGCUGCCAAUGCCACCAGCCUGAGCGCUCAGGGUUCAAGGGCCCAGCUCCAAGUGACCACCAACUCAGAAGGACUGACCACCCUGCCCAGAACCUGCAAGAAACGAACCUGACUGGGUGGGUGAGAAUGCUGGUGCCUGGUAAGGAGAGGAACCCUAUAAACUGAGAGAGGGGCCAGGAGAGGAUGAGAGGGGACCCUGCUCCUCCCCAAGCUGCUCCCACACAUGACACACAGGGUCCCAUUGGAAGAAUCUGGGAGAUUCUUCAAAGCCAAUUAGAAAAAAGUGAGUUCCACCCCAGAGGUUUGCAAACACGGCUGCACCCAAAAAUCACAUAGGCGGUUUUUUAAAAGUUAAGAUUCCUAGGGCCACCUCAGCUCUAGGGGACUCGACCAUCAGAGCAGCGGUGCCCAACCUCAGCAGCCCACAAGUAAUCAUUCUGAGCCCCAGGGGACCCCAGGAUCUAUUCAAUCAGAAUCUCUAGGGGGUGGGGGGAGUUCCCAUUGUGGCUCAGUGGGUUAAGAACUGGACUGGUAUCCAUGAGGAUCCUGUGGGUCGUGCAUCUACAUUAACCCUCCCUCCUUGGAGAUCACAUUCUUUCUUCAUCUCAUUAAGGGCCACAAUCCCUUAAGAGAUAACAGGCCUUCUUAAUCUUGUCAGAGGCCAUGAUGACCACGACCACGCUUUGGAGAGCAGAUCUGGAUAGUAUAAACUGGCAAUAAUACGUCAUUUACUCUACAGUCCUCUCUCUCAAAACUUACAUGACUGUGCUUUGACCUCUAAUGGGCCAAACAGUUCUCAGAGCUUUCUGAGAGUCUAUUCCCUUAGUCUGGCUUGCAUGGAAAUUUCCACUUCUUUCUCACAUUGACUGGUCAAUUUUUUUUAUCAACAUCCGGACCCCACAGAUAUUCAAAGUCAGUCUCAUGCACAGAGCCCCUGAAAUCAGGGGGUCUGGUUUAACUCCCACACUGUACUUCUUAGCUGUGUGAUCUUGCUCAAGUAACCUAACUUCUCUGAGCUUCUGUUUCCCCAGAAACAGAAUGUGUUUACUGGGAAUGUUUAUGUCCCCAGUGUGGAAUAGUGUUUACGUCUUAGUUAGAAUCAAAUAUGAAGUCAUGAGGAACACUUGCGACAACACUGGGCACUGAGUAAGGACCCCAUAAAGAUAAGCUAUUAGGCACACAUACGUACAUAUAUUGCUUAUUAUACAUUACGGGGGACUAGAUGUCAGGCACUAUUUUAGGCACUUUCCACGGCCUGGUGAGCUGGAAGUCCAAACCCAGCAGCCUGGCCUCCUCUCUCCGGCUUUGGACAAGUCAUAUCCCUUCCUGGGCCGGACCUGCCACCAGAGACCGGGGGCCCAGGGGCCGCCAACCCGCAGAGAGGACCUGGGUUCCUCUUUCUUCUGACUUGGUCUAAGGGACAAAAAACAGCCGGCGUCCAAGGCACAAAGCAGGCUCUCUUCUCUGCAUGUGGCUUUGGCUGGGGGCACGUUUCCCUGCGGCGCCGCCCACAGUCCGCCCAGAACCCGGAGCAUCCCUGGCUUCAGGAGCAUCCCCGCGGAUCCCGGCGAGCAGGGAGCGAGUGGUUCCCCAAGGGAACACCCCCCCUCCCCAGGAAGUGCCACCGCCCAGGCCCGAGCCCCGGGGCUGCGCCUCCACCGGUACUCGAGCUGGAGCCCGCUGCCCUAGGAUCAGCCCUGGCGCGCCCGGCCCAGACACUCACAAAGUCUCCUCCCGAAGACCGGCCCCGAGGGAGAAAACCGAGCGCUGUCCCGAAUGCGUCCCCGGCCCUGCCGCCCGCCCCUGGGAGCCCCUCCCGAGGGUCAGCUCUGGGCGGGGGCCGGGGCGCGGCGGGCGCCGAAAGCGGGAGGACAGCUGACUCAUCCUCUCGUCCGCCGCCGUGAGUCAUCCGGC
Molecule: long non-coding RNA, 4639 nt
Filed under: Sus scrofa (pig)
Lineage: Eukaryota; Metazoa; Chordata; Mammalia; Artiodactyla; Suidae
Description: lncRNA (ENSSSCG00050073231.1)
Source: RNAcentral